AACGAACGCUGGCGGCAUGCCUAACACAUGCAAGUCGAACGAAGGCUUCGGCCUUAGUGGCGCACGGGUGCGUAACGCGUGGGAAUCUGCCCUUGGGUUCGGAAUAACAGUUAGAAAUGACUGCUAAUACCGGAUGAUGUCGUAAGACCAAAGAUUUAUCGCCCAGGGAUGAGCCCGCGUAAGAUUAGGUAGUUGGUGGGGUAAAAGGCCUACCAAGCCGACGAUCUUUAGCUGGUCUGAGAGGAUGAUCAGCCACACUGGGACUGAGACACGGCCCAGACUCCUACGGGAGGCAGCAGUGGGGAAUAUUGGACAAUGGGCGAAAGCCUGAUCCAGCAAUGCCGCGUGAGUGAUGAAGGCCUUAGGGUUGUAAG
Molecule: ribosomal RNA, 374 nt
Filed under: uncultured bacterium
Lineage: Bacteria
Description: bacterial SSU rRNA
Rfam family: Bacterial small subunit ribosomal RNA
Source: RNAcentral